Molecule: ribosomal RNA, 427 nt
Filed under: uncultured bacterium
Lineage: Bacteria
Description: bacterial SSU rRNA
Rfam family: Bacterial small subunit ribosomal RNA
Source: RNAcentral
UGGGGAAUUUUGGACAAUGGGCGCAUGCCUGAUCCAGCCAUGCCGCGUACAGGAUGAAGGCCUUCGGGUUGUAAACUGCUUUUGUACGGAACGAAAAGGUGCCUUCUAAUAAAGGGCGCUCAUGACGGUACCGUAAGAAUAAGCACCGGCUAACUACGUGCCAGCAGCCGCGGUAAUACGUAGGGUGCGAGCGUUAAUCGGAAUUACUGGGCGUAAAGCGUGCGCAGGCGGUUUUGUAAGACAGAGGUGAAAUCCCCGGGCUCAACCUGGGAACUGCCUUUGUGACUGCAAGGCUGGAGUGCGGCAGAGGGGGAUGGAAUUCCGCGUGUAGCAGUGAAAUGCGUAGAUAUGCGGAGGAACACCGAUGGCGAAGGCAAUCCCCUGGGCCUGCACUGACGCUCAUGCACGAAAGCGUGGGGAGCAAACA